RNAcentral lists this long non-coding RNA (391 nucleotides) under Fukomys damarensis (Damara mole-rat). Its description in RNAcentral is "lncRNA (ENSFDAG00000022441.1)". The record is from RNAcentral. Lineage: Eukaryota; Metazoa; Chordata; Mammalia; Rodentia; Bathyergidae.
UUCUUUUUUGCUUUCCUUUUGUAGGUUUUGACUGACAUCUAUUCACUUCAAAGGUGAUUUUCCUGUUGGCAAGAAGCAGAAGAGACACACCAAGCAUCACCUUCUGGAACAAGCAAUUUAAGUACUAUAAUGAGAUGGGUCUUUUCAGAGUCUAUAAUUGGUGACAAGGAAAGGAGCUAUGUGUUCGAGGUCAGUUUCUCCUGUUGGAUCAAAGGAAGUACUAGAUUGGAGCAGCAGAUUUUGACAGAUUCUACAAAGGAUAGAAAGUUGUGUUGCCUGCUCCACCCAUACUUCACGGCGGUGUGCUUUGAUUCUAGCAAGGCACUGAACAUAGAGUAAGACUACUUUGGCUGAUUCAGCAUUUACAAGAGGAGAGACCAACAGGUGCCGG